CCUACGGGUGGCAGCAGUGGGGAAUAUUGCACAAUGGGGGAAACCCUGAUGCAGCGACGCCGCGUGAGCGAAGAAGUAUUUCGGUAUGUAAAGCUCUAUCAGCAGGGAAGAAAAUGACGGUACCUGAGUAAGAAGCUCCGGCUAAAUACGUGCCAGCAGCCGCGGUAAGACGUAUGGAGCAAGCGUUAUCCGGAUUUACUGGGCGGAAGGGGAGCGUAGGCGGGCUGCACCGUCUGCUGGGAAAUCCCGGGGCUCCACCCCGGGGCUGCAUUGGAAACUGGCAGGCUGGGUUGCCGGAGGUGCAGGCGGAUUUCCUAGUGUAGCGGUGAAAUGCGUCGAUAUUAGGAGGAACACCAGUGGCGAGGGCGGCCUGCUGGACGGUGCCUGACGCUGAGGCUCGAAAGCGUGGGGAGCAAACAGGAUUAGAUACCCGGGUAGUC
This 440-nucleotide ribosomal RNA is filed under the name uncultured bacterium. Its description in RNAcentral is "partial 16S ribosomal RNA". It matches the Rfam family "Bacterial small subunit ribosomal RNA", at positions 338 to 795 of the family's 1533-position model. The record is from RNAcentral.